UGCUUUACACAUGCAAGUCGAACGGUAACAGGUCUUCGGAUGCUGACGAGUGGCGAACGGGUGAGUAAUACAUCGGAACGUGCCUAGUAGUGGGGGAUAACUACUCGAAAGAGUAGCUAAUACCGCAUGAGAUCUACGGAUGAAAGCAGGGGACCUUCGGGCCUUGUGCUACUAGAGCGGCUGAUGGCAGAUUAGGUAGUUGGUGGGGUAAAAGCUUACCAAGCCUGCGAUCUGUAGCUGGUCUGAGAGGACGACCAGCCACACUGGGACUGAGACACGGCCCAGACUCCUACGGGAGGCAGCAGUGGGGAAUUUUGGACAAUGGGCGAAAGCCUGAUCCAGCAAUGCCGCGUGCAGGAUGAAGGCCCUCGGGUUGUAAACUGCUUUUGUACGGAACGAAAAGCCUGGGGCUAAUAUCCCCGGGUCAUGACGGUACCGUAAGAAUAAGCACCGGCUAACUACGUGCCAGCAGCCGCGGUAAUGCGUAGGGUGCAAGCGUUAAUCGGAAUUACUGGGCGUAAAGCGUGCGCAGGCGGU
Molecule: ribosomal RNA, 537 nt
Filed under: uncultured beta proteobacterium
Lineage: Bacteria; Pseudomonadati; Pseudomonadota; Betaproteobacteria
Description: bacterial SSU rRNA
Rfam family: Bacterial small subunit ribosomal RNA
Source: RNAcentral